GCCGCUUUCUCAGUGGAGUCAGCGCGACUUCUACGUCCGCCUGCCAAAUCUGCCUUGUGCUUACGGGACGUAGGCCGCCACACGUCCGAUGUCACUCUAAACGUUGCACCGUCGGCGUCCUGGAGGGUCAAACGACUCGCGGGACCAGAAGCGCCGACUGGCCGAGGCCCUUGGCUAAGUCCUGGGCUAGUGAACAACGGAAGGGGUUGGGCCGCUUGGCCUGCGCGGGGAGCCCGUGGGCGUGGUAGUUCUGGGCGCUUCAACCGGGUUUGCCGACUCACUCGGCUGUGAGGCCAGUCGGAGGUGUCUCGGGGAAGUUGCCUGCAUAGAGCAGCGUGGCCUAGCAGCGCGGUUGUGAUUUUGUUUAGCUGUUUCUCUUUCGGGUCCGACUUGACUCUGGUCACGCCUUCAAGGAUGCUUAGUUCCUCCAGUAACUUUGACCUCCCCUAUUAUAAGACUCCCUGUCGCUCAAGGACCCCCCUUCAUUAACCCAGACUGGCUCUUGCUCGUCUUAAGUACCCUACCUCCCUCUUCCUCACACGCAUUCCGCAGUAUUUUCAUGCUUCUUUCCUUUUUUUUUUUUUUUUUCCCUGGCAGAGACCCUUUAAUACUAUGUCCUGACCCAGGAGUCACGCCAAGCAUACCUGUAGAUGCAGGCAGAUCUGACCCAUACCCCUUCAGCAGCCGUGCACCUCAUUUCUUUUUUUCUUCUCUUUUGAGAAUUGUUUCUUUUCGGAUUCCACUUCUGUGUAGCCUGUUUUAAGUCUGUUGGGUGAUUUUUGGUCCUGGAAACUACCAUUUUGUCUUUUGCUUCCACAGAUUAAUAAUACAACAAAGUGACCAACCCUGGGUUAACGUUUGAGUCAGAGAGCAGGGAACCGAAAGAAACUGGAGAGAAAAACUGAGGAAACUGCUGGAUUAGGUUUGCUAAAAGCGAGAUAAAUGGUGAAAGAGAGGGAAGAGAGCAAACAUUUUCUUCUUGUGCUUCAAAAAAACUGUUAAGUGCUGACUGCAGGGCUGUGUGGGUUCUGUGCUGGGAAUGCCUUAGCCAGCAUCUACCUAGAGGCUGGGAGUCCUGUCCAGUAGGACUCAGACAUCCAGGUAAGUAACCAUGCAGGAUGGCCGUCAGCCUUUUUUUCUACCCUACUAUGUGUUCUGCUCAUCCCCAUCUCUCCUUCAGCUCAUUGCAAAGUAUUUUGCCUCUUCACAUCAUUUGUUCCAUGUUCUUCAUUCCAACCUUAAGUCUCCUUCUCCCCUUGUUCUGACCCAGACUGUUUGGUAUCUUGCUGUUUAGUCACUUUGACAUCAAGACAGUGUAGCUGUGUUCAUAGAGAAUUUGGUAAAAGAUGGUGCUUCAUGAUGGGCCUUUAUCCUUAUGUGAUACAUUACUAUUGACCUUCUCGUGCCAGGGCUCUGUAUUCCUCAGCAUUCACACAUUAGUUAUAUUGGAAUCACGUGGAAAUCAUUUAUGCUCAGUGGUCCAGAAUCAGAAUGCCAGGAAGCCCAAAUGCACUUAAUCCUUCUACUGCUUAUUUAGUGGUGGAGGAAUCUUAGGUUUGGGAAAUCACUCCAUGGAGACAAUAAUCAGUAGUCAUCCGCUAGUGUGUAAUGAGAAUUAAAAACCCACAUGAGUUGACAAGAUCAUUUUAAAAAAGCAUAUGUUAGUGGAAUAACCAACUGACUAGUCCAGAAUAGGAUUAUUACAACCUAGGAAGUUAUUUUUGAAUUGUUUAUUCAGAAAUGUCCUGUCCUAGGAGUCACGCCAGUGACUCUCCCAGUCUGAAUUGUUUUUUUUUUUUUGGAGGGAAUACAGUGGGAGAUAGAUCUUCCAAAGAAUAAAUAACAAUCAUUCUAUUUUUAUUUAACAAUGCUUUGCCAUACCUGCUUUCUUGUACCUGUGGGCAGUAGAUUUACCUCUAAGGUUGUUUAUGACUGAUACCAAAUACCUUUGCAUUCUUUAAGAGUGUGGGAUUAGCCCCAUAGAAGUGAAAUUUCAUGUGGGAUUAUGCUUAAAAUAUUCUUCUUCAAGCUGCUGCGUUAAUUGACACCAGCUACCUCUCUCAUUCCACCUCUUACCUUCUCCAUUGUGAUCACUGCCCUAGCUCCCUUAGCUUUACUGCUGUUUUGUGAACAUGCCAAACGUACUCCCUUUUCCCGAAAUACUCUUUUUCCAGGUAACACUUGUUCAGGUCUUCACUGUUCAUCUUAUUAGAGAGGGCUUCUCUGACCACUUCAUAUUGAAAUAGAGCCUUUAUCAUUUUAUCUCUGUUUUUUCUUAAUGCCCUCCAGUACAUUAUCACCACUUGAAAAAAUAUCUUAUUUAUCUAUUUGUUUACUUGCUUCUUAUCCCAUUUCUCUCCUACCUUUUUGAAGUCAAUUUUUUUUUUUUUUUAGUACUGGGCUUGAACCCUGGGCCUCAUGCACUGAGCUGUAUCCACACUUUCUUAUUUUUUUUAUUUAUUUAUUUUUGGGUACCAGGGAUUGAACUCAGGAACACUCAACCACUGAGCCACAUCCCCAGUCCUUUUUUGUAUUUUAUUUAGAGACAGGGUCUCACUGAAUUGCUUAGCACCUCGGUGUUGCUGAGACUGGUUUUGAACCCAUGAUCCUCCUGCUUCAGCCUCAGGAGUCGCUGGGCCCACCUUUUUAUAGUCUAUUUUGAGAUAGCAUAUCACAGAGUUGCCUAGGUUGUCCUGGAACUUGGAAUCCUCCUGCCUCAGCCUCCCAAGACACUGGGGUUACAGGUAAGCACCACUGAGCCCUGCUUGACCACAUCUCCUUGUUAAAACCCUCAGUUGUUAAUGCCUUAGUUAUCCAGAUACCCUGUCUCUAACUCCAUCUGUCUACUAUUCACCUCAGUAUUCUUAUUUUCCACAAUAUCCUCCCUUACUUAUCCAAAAGUUUGAGAUUUGAAAUUCCCUGACUAUAUUUUAUUUUCCUCUGUGUUCUCUUUGCCCAGAAUUCCCCUUUUCUUAACCUCUUUUCUUCAGUUGCUGGUCUUCACAGCUCACCUAGAGGAGUGUAUCUUCUAAGAAAGUUUAACAGCUUUUCUUUCCCACCCUGGACAGACCAGUUCUCUCAUUAUAAGAAAUAAAAGAAUACUGUAAUAUCUCUGUCUGCAUAUCUGAUGGCAGAAUUGUCUUUAAGGGAGUUAAGAUUACAGGCUUUGGAGUUAGGUCCAGGUUUGAAUUCCAGCUCUGCCUCUUGUUGGCUGUAUGCUUUGGGCCAGUCACAUAACUUGUUGAGCUGCAGUUUCUUCUUUAGUAAAAUCAUCUAAUUUUGCUCAUCUUGGUGUCCCCAGCUUUUGGUACCAUGCUUAGUCUGGUUAUCUGUUUGUAAAUAGAUAUUCCCAUGUCCACUCCCCUUGUCAUAACAGCAGUAGGCCUGGCAUGAGUGAUGGGUGAAUGUGUCGUGUAUUUGAGGUGGGGUGGGGGAGAGAAAGAAAGGCUGUGUAGGCCAUUUCCCUAGCUCAUUUUUAUUCUGAUUGAUAGUUAAAAGUGGAUAGGUGUGUCUAAUUAGGGUCAGUGGGAAUCAAAAGCCAUACUAAAUAAAAUAGGACUGGAAAAAUAUCAAAAUUUUAAAGUACUUACACUUGCUUUUAUAUAAUUUCAGCCCCAAACCCACAAAUACAACCAAAUUGGAGUAUGGUUUAUUAUACUGACAUGUCUAGGUGGUUUUCUUUUGAUUUGUAGUGUGUAAACUUUAACUGAGUCAUUUUUUAAAAAAAUGUAUUGGGGGGUUGAACUAAGGCCAUGCAUAUGUUGGGCAAACGCUGUACCACUGAGCUGCAUUCCAGCCCUUUAAGUUUUUUAUUUUGAGACAGGGUUCACUGAGUUGCUUCAGGUCUUGCUAAAUUGCUGAGGCUGGCCCCGAAUUUGAGAUCCUCCUGCCUUAGCCUCCAGAGUAGCUGGGAUUACAGGCAUGUGCCACUAUGACUAGCUGGGUCAUUUACUUUUGUUUUAUACAAAAUUCUGAGACAGAGAAUUUAGGUGACUGUAAUAUUCAGUUGAGGUUUUGGAAGAUCUACUUUAGAGAAUGAGUUAAUACUAUCUCAUGUUAAAGUCUUAUUUUAAUGUAGCUUUCAAAAAAGCUCUUGGUUAUAUUUUUAAAAACUUUUAGAAUUGGCUUAUUAUCUUCUUUAGAACAUGAAAUAUACAAUAGAGCAGGCAGGGGAUUAGCAAGGAUGGUGGAAUGUGAUAGACAUCAUUAUCCAAAGUACAUGUAUGAAGACAUGAAUUAGUGCCAACAUACUUCAUAUACAACCAGAGAUAUGAAAAAUUGUGCUGUAUAUGUGUAAUAAGAAUUGUAAUGUAUUCUGGUGUCAUUUAUUUUUUAAAAAAAUCAAUAAAAAUAUACAAUAAAGCAAGUAUGAUACUUCCUUAAAAAAGUGGAUAAUUAGCAGGAUACCAUGGCUUAUGCCUAUAAUCUUAGUGACUUGGGAGGCUGAGACAGGAGGAUUGUCAAGUUCAAGGCCAGCCUCAGCCACUUAGCAAGACUCUCAGCAACUUUGUGAGACCCUGUCUCAAAAAAUUUAAGGAAAGGGUUAGGAUUGAAGCCCAGUGGUAAAGCACCGGUGGGUUCGAUCCCCAGCAUACAUAUACACACACACACACACACACACAGUGGAUAGUCAUACAGUCAUUAAAAAUUAGUAGUUGAAAGUAUGUAGUGAUAAUGGAUAAUUGAAAGUUGGCCACAAAGGAGAAUGAAGGGAAGGGAGGGAGGAUGGGAAUAGGACAGACAGUAGAAUGAAUCAGGCAUAAUUUCCUGUGUUUAUAUAUGAAUACACCACCAGUGAAACUCCACAUCAUAUACAACCACAAGAAUGGGAUCCUAAUUAGAAUAAGUUAUACUCCAUUUGUAUGUGAAAAUACAAUCUACUGUCAUGUAUAUCUAAAUAAAGAACAAAUAAAAAAAUAAGAAACUUAACCAUAC
This 4935-nucleotide long non-coding RNA is filed under the name Marmota monax (woodchuck). Lineage: Eukaryota; Metazoa; Chordata; Mammalia; Rodentia; Sciuridae. The record is from RNAcentral.